RNAcentral lists this long non-coding RNA (772 nucleotides) under Arabidopsis lyrata. RNAcentral describes it as "long non-coding RNA (ALYR_LNC003365)". The record is from RNAcentral. Lineage: Eukaryota; Viridiplantae; Streptophyta; Magnoliopsida; Brassicales; Brassicaceae.
UGUAUGACUGAGUAUAAGAAAGAGAAAUGCAACCCGGAUCCUGGCUGCUAAAGUAAAGUAGAUGCAAAACAAAAAAAUUCAUAGGGACUUCGUCCUCACUUACAAAACUUGGGAAAGCCAUAAUUAGCUUGUGUACGGUUUUUGGAGUCCAAUAUCACAAGAUUGGUGUGUAUGAUUGAGUAUAAAAAGUGAAAUGCAACCCGGAUCCUGGCUGCUAAAGUAGAAUAGAUACAAAACAAAAAAAUUCAUAGGGACUUCGUCCUCACUUACAAAACCUGGGAAAGCCAUAACAAGCUUGUGUAGGGUUUUUGGAAUCCAAUAUGACAAGAUUGGUGUGUAUGAUUGAGUAUAAGAAAGAGAAAUGCAACCCGGAUCCUGGCUGCUAAAGUAGAGUAGAUGCAAAACAAAAAAAAACUCAUAGGGACUUCGUCCUUACUAACAAAACUUGAGGAAACCAUAACAAGCUUGUGUAGGGUUUUUGGAAUCCAAUAUGACAAGAUUGGUGUGUAUUACUGAGUAUAAGAAAGAGAAAUGCAACCCGGAUCCUGGCUGCUAAAGUAGAGUAGAUACAAAACAAAAAAAAAAACUCAUAGUGACUUCGUCCUCACUUAUAAAACUUGGGAAAGCCAUAACAAGCUUGUGUAUGGUUUCUGGUGUCCAAUAUGACAAGAUUGGUGUGUAUGACUGAGUAUAAGAAAGAGAAAUGCAACCUGGAUCCUGGCUGCUAAAGCAGAGUAGAUGCCAAACAAAAAAACUCAUAGGGAGUUCGUCC